AAACAACAGAUGGAACCAUUGACUACUCACCAGGAAGUUUCACUGGUCUCUAAUGUGGAGGAUGAUGAACUUGAGAAGAAUAAAAGUGAGAAAAGCAGUGUGAAGCAAGAUCAUCGCAGUCCAAAACACAUGUCCUCUCCAGAACUUUUUGAAGCACCUAAUGAAAAUAAACUCAGCGUUAGCAGUCACAGUCAGAGUCAGACCCC
RNAcentral lists this unclassified non-coding RNA (206 nucleotides) under Hevea brasiliensis (rubber tree). Lineage: Eukaryota; Viridiplantae; Streptophyta; Magnoliopsida; Malpighiales; Euphorbiaceae. The record is from RNAcentral.